CACCUGAUUGAUUUUGGUCGCCAACGAGUGGCGGACGGGUGAGUAACACGUAGGUAACCUGCCCAGAAGCGGGGGACAACAUUUGGAAACAGAUGCUAAUACCGCAUAACAGCGUUGUUCGCAUGAACAACGCUUAAAAGAUGGCUUCUCGCUAUCACUUCUGGAUGGACCUGCGGUGCAUUAGCUUGUUGGUGGGGUAACGGCCUACCAAGGCGAUGAUGCAUAGCCGAGUUGAGAGACUGAUCGGCCACAAUGGGACUGAGACACGGCCCAUACUCCUACGGGAGGCAGCAGUAGGGAAUCUUCCACAAUGGGCGCAAGCCUGAUGGAGCAACACCGCGUGAGUGAAGAAGGGUUUCGGCUCGUAAAGCUCUGUUGUUAAAGAAGAACACGUAUGAGAGUAACUGUUCAUACGUUGACGGUAUUUAACCAGAAAGUCACGGCUAACUACGUGCCAGCAGCCGCGGUAAUACGUAGGUGGCAAGCGUUAUCCGGAUUUAUUGGGCGUAAAGAGAGUGCAGGCGGUUUUCUAAGUCUGAUGUGAAAGCCUUCGGCUUAACCGGAGAAGUGCAUCGGAAACUGGAUAACUUGAGUGCAGAAGAGGGUAGUGGAACUCCAUGUGUAGCGGUGGAAUGCGUAGAUAUAUGGAAGAACACCAGUGGCGAAGGCGGCUACCUGGUCUGCAACUGACGCUGAGACUCGAAAGCAUGGGUAGCGAACAGGAUUAGAUACCCUGGUAGUCCAUGCCGUAAACGAUGAGUGCUAGGUGUUGGAGGGUUUCCGCCCUUCAGUGCCGGAGCUAACGCAUUAAGCACUCCGCCUGGGGAGUACGACCGCAAGGUUGAAACUCAAAGGAAUUGACGGGGGCCCGCACAAGCGGUGGAGCAUGUGGUUUAAUUCGAAGCUACGCGAAGAACCUUACCAGGUCUUGACAUCUUGCGCCAACCCUAGAGAUAGGGCGUUUCCUUCGGGAACGCAAUGACAGGUGGUGCAUGGUCGUCGUCAGCUCGUGUCGUGAGAUGUUGGGUUAAGUCCCGCAACGAGCGCAACCCUUGUUACUAGUUGCCAGCAUUAAGUUGGGCACUCUAGUGAGACUGCCGGUGACAAACCGGAGGAAGGUGGGGACGACGUCAGAUCAUCAUGCCCCUUAUGACCUGGGCUACACACGUGCUACAAUGGACGGUACAACGAGUCGCGAACUCGCGAGGGCAAGCAAAUCUCUUAAAACCGUUCUCAGUUCGGACUGCAGGCUGCAACUCGCCUGCACGAAGUCGGAAUCGCUAGUAAUCGCGGAUCAGCAUGCCGCGGUGAAUACGUUCCCGGGCCUUGUACACACCGCCCGUCACACCAUGAGAGUUUG
Molecule: ribosomal RNA, 1360 nt
Filed under: Limosilactobacillus fermentum
Lineage: Bacteria; Bacillati; Bacillota; Bacilli; Lactobacillales; Lactobacillaceae
Description: bacterial SSU rRNA
Rfam family: Bacterial small subunit ribosomal RNA
Source: RNAcentral